Molecule: long non-coding RNA, 552 nt
Organism: Calidris pugnax (ruff)
Lineage: Eukaryota; Metazoa; Chordata; Aves; Charadriiformes; Scolopacidae
Exons: 3
Source: RefSeq, a predicted model, not a curated record
CUGUGCGCCCUCUGGGGCUGCUCACCUGCCCGCUGGCCCCAGGGCUCGGUGGCCGGCACCUCGGCGGUCACCGCCUUGGCUCUGCCUGUCCAGGGGGUGAAGGUGGCCCUGGGAGAAGAAGAGAUGGCAUAGGUGGCCCUGGAACAAUUGUGUCCUGGUCCCAGCUGUGGCAGACAGAAGUGGACCCCAAACGCUGGUGACCCUCACCCAGAGGUGGGCUUCAACCCUGGUGACCUUCAUGCAGAGGUGGACCCUCUCCCCUUGACCUUCACCCAGAGGUGGACCUUGAAACCCAGUGACCCUCACCCAGAGGUGGAGCCUGUCCCUGGUGACCUGCAACCCCAGUGCCCCUUGCCCAGAGGUGGGCUCUGACCCCUGCAUCCCUCACACGUGGAGGUAAGAGCCGCGGUGUGGCUGUGGUGCCCAGGGACCCUUCUGUGCAGCACACAGCGGGGCCCCAGGGGGCCUUGUCCCUUCUGGGGGGCUCUUUCCCCUCCUCCCCCAGCCCACAUCCCCUUCCCCUGCUCUCCCCACAGCCCGGGCACUCCCGUC